GGUGGCUCAGUGGUAGAGUGCUUGCCUCAUAUGCAUGAGGACCUGGGUUCGAUUUCUUAGCACCA
RNAcentral lists this transfer RNA (65 nucleotides) under Dipodomys ordii (Ord's kangaroo rat). It matches the Rfam family "tRNA". From Rfam's summary of the family: Transfer RNA (tRNA) molecules are approximately 80 nucleotides in length. Their secondary structure includes four short double-helical elements and three loops (D, anti-codon, and T loops). Lineage: Eukaryota; Metazoa; Chordata; Mammalia; Rodentia; Heteromyidae. The record is from Rfam by way of RNAcentral.